Molecule: ribosomal RNA, 497 nt
Filed under: uncultured bacterium
Lineage: Bacteria
Description: partial 16S ribosomal RNA
Rfam family: Bacterial small subunit ribosomal RNA
Source: RNAcentral
GACGAACGCUGGCGGCGUGCCUAAUACAUGCAAGUAGAACGCUGUAGAGAGGAGCUUGCUCUUCUUGGAUGAGUUGCGAACGGGUGAGUAACGCGUAGGUAACCUGCCUUGUAGCGGGGGAUAACUAUUGGAAACGAUAGCUAAUACCGCAUAACAAUGGAUGACACAUGUCAUUUAUUUGAAAGGGGCAAUUGCUCCACUACAAGAUGGACCUGCGUUGUAUUAGCUAGUAGGUGAGGUAAUGGCUCACCUAGGCGACGAUACAUAGCCGACCUGAGAGGGUGAUCGGCCACACUGGGACUGAGACACGGCCCAGACUCCUACGGGAGGCAGCAGUAGGGAAUCUUCGGCAAUGGGGGCAACCCUGACCGAGCAACGCCGCGUGAGUGAAGAAGGUUUUCGGAUCGUAAAGCUCUGUUGUAAGUCAAGAACGGGUGUGAGAGUGGAAAGUUCACACUGUGACGGUAGCUUACCAGAAAGGGACGGCUAACUACGUG